UACGAAGGGGGCUAGCGUUGUUCGGAAUUACUGGGCGUAAAGCGCGCGCAGGCGGCUUCUCAAGUCAGGGGUGAAAGCCCAGAGCUCAACUCUGGAAUUGCCUUUGAGACUGAGAGGCUUGAGUACGGGAGAGGUGAGUGGAAUUCCCAGUGUAGAGGUGAAAUUCGUAGAUAUUGGGAAGAACACCAGUGGCGAAGGCGGCUCACUGGACCGUAACUGACGCUCAUGCACGACAGCGUGGGGAUCAAACAGG
This 253-nucleotide ribosomal RNA is filed under the name uncultured bacterium. Its description in RNAcentral is "partial 16S ribosomal RNA". It matches the Rfam family "Bacterial small subunit ribosomal RNA", at positions 524 to 776 of the family's 1533-position model. The record is from RNAcentral.